This 2810-nucleotide ribosomal RNA is filed under the name Klebsiella pneumoniae. Its description in RNAcentral is "partial 23S ribosomal RNA". It matches the Rfam family "Bacterial large subunit ribosomal RNA". The record is from RNAcentral. Lineage: Bacteria; Pseudomonadati; Pseudomonadota; Gammaproteobacteria; Enterobacterales; Enterobacteriaceae.
CCGGCGAUGUCCGAAUGGGGAAACCCAGUGCAAUUCGUUGCACUAUCGUUAACUGAAUACAUAGGUUAACGAGGCGAACCGGGGGAACUGAAACAUCUAAGUACCCCGAGGAAAAGAAAUCAACCGAGAUUCCCCCAGUAGCGGCGAGCGAACGGGGAGCAGCCCAGAGUCUGAAUCAGCUUGUGUGUUAGUGGAACGGUCUGGAAAGUCCGACGGUACAGGGUGAUAGUCCCGUACACCAAAAUGCACAGGUUGUGAACUCGAAGAGUAGGGCGGGACACGUGGUAUCCUGUCUGAAUAUGGGGGGACCAUCCUCCAAGGCUAAAUACUCCUGACUGACCGAUAGUGAACCAGUACCGUGAGGGAAAGGCGAAAAGAACCCCGGCGAGGGGAGUGAAAAAGAACCUGAAACCGUGUACGUACAAGCAGUGGGAGCACCUUCGGGUGUGACUGCGUACCUUUUGUAUAAUGGGUCAGCGACUUAUAUUCUGUAGCAAGGUUAACCGUAUAGGGGAGCCGCAGGGAAACCGAGUCUUAACUGGGCGUUAAGUUGCAGGGUAUAGACCCGAAACCCGGUGAUCUAGCCAUGGGCAGGUUGAAGGUUGGGUAACACUAACUGGAGGACCGAACCGACUAAUGUUGAAAAAUUAGCGGAUGACUUGUGGCUGGGGGUGAAAGGCCAAUCAAACCGGGAGAUAGCUGGUUCUCCCCGAAAGCUAUUUAGGUAGCGCCUCGUGAAUUCAUCUUCGGGGGUAGAGCACUGUUUCGGCUAGGGGGUCAUCCCGACUUACCAACCCGAUGCAAACUACGAAUACCGAAGAAUGUUAUCACGGGAGACACACGGCGGGUGCUAACGUCCGUCGUGAAGAGGGAAACAACCCAGACCGCCAGCUAAGGUCCCAAAGUCAUGGUUAAGUGGGAAACGAUGUGGGAAGGCACAGACAGCCAGGAUGUUGGCUUAGAAGCAGCCAUCAUUUAAAGAAAGCGUAAUAGCUCACUGGUCGAGUCGGCCUGCGCGGAAGAUGUAACGGGGCUAAACCAUGCACCGAAGCUGCGGCAGCGACACUAUGUGUUGUUGGGUAGGGGAGCGUUCUGUAAGCCUGCGAAGGUGACCUGUGAGGGUUGCUGGAGGUAUCAGAAGUGCGAAUGCUGACAUAAGUAACGAUAAAGCGGGUGAAAAGCCCGCUCGCCGGAAGACCAAGGGUUCCUGUCCAACGUUAAUCGGGGCAGGGUGAGUCGACCCCUAAGGCGAGGCCGAAAGGCGUAGUCGAUGGGAAACAGGUUAAUAUUCCUGUACUUGGUGUUACUGCGAAGGGGGGACGGAGAAGGCUAUGUUAGCCGGGCGACGGUUGUCCCGGUUUAAGCAUGUAGGCUGGUUAUCCAGGCAAAUCCGGAUAAUCAAGGCUGAGGUGUGAUGACGAGGCACUACGGUGCUGAAGUAACAAAUGCCCUGCUUCCAGGAAAAGCCUCUAAGCAUCAGGUAACAUCAAAUCGUACCCCAAACCGACACAGGUGGUCAGGUAGAGAAUACCAAGGCGCUUGAGAGAACUCGGGUGAAGGAACUAGGCAAAAUGGUGCCGUAACUUCGGGAGAAGGCACGCUGGUGUGUAGGUGAAGCCCCUGCGGGUGGAGCUGAGACCAGUCGAAGAUACCAGCUGGCUGCAACUGUUUAUUAAAAACACAGCACUGUGCAAACACGAAAGUGGACGUAUACGGUGUGACGCCUGCCCGGUGCCGGAAGGUUAAUUGAUGGGGUUAUCCGUAAGGAGAAGCUCUUGAUCGAAGCCCCGGUAAACGGCGGCCGUAACUAUAACGGUCCUAAGGUAGCGAAAUUCCUUGUCGGGUAAGUUCCGACCUGCACGAAUGGCGUAAUGAUGGCCAGGCUGUCUCCACCCGAGACUCAGUGAAAUUGAACUCGCUGUGAAGAUGCAGUGUACCCGCGGCAAGACGGAAAGACCCCGUGAACCUUUACUAUAGCUUGACACUGAACAUUGAGCCUUGAUGUGUAGGAUAGGUGGGAGGCUUUGAAGCGUGGACGCCAGUCUGCGUGGAGCCAACCUUGAAAUACCACCCUUUAAUGUUUGAUGUUCUAACGUUGGCCCCUUACCGGGGUUGCGGACAGUGUCUGGUGGGUAGUUUGACUGGGGCGGUCUCCUCCCAAAGCGUAACGGAGGAGCACGAAGGUUAGCUAAUCCUGGUCGGACAUCAGGAGGUUAGUGCAAUGGCAUAAGCUAGCUUGACUGCGAGCGUGACGGCGCGAGCAGGUGCGAAAGCAGGUCAUAGUGAUCCGGUGGUUCUGAAUGGAAGGGCCAUCGCUCAACGGAUAAAAGGUACUCCGGGGAUAACAGGCUGAUACCGCCCAAGAGUUCAUAUCGACGGCGGUGUUUGGCACCUCGAUGUCGGCUCAUCACAUCCUGGGGCUGAAGUAGGUCCCAAGGGUAUGGCUGUUCGCCAUUUAAAGUGGUACGCGAGCUGGGUUUAGAACGUCGUGAGACAGUUCGGUCCCUAUCUGCCGUGGGCGCUGGAGAAUUGAGGGGGGCUGCUCCUAGUACGAGAGGACCGGAGUGGACGCAUCACUGGUGUUCGGGUUGUCAUGCCAAUGGCACUGCCCGGUAGCUAAAUGCGGAAGAGAUAAGUGCUGAAAGCAUCUAAGCACGAAACUUGCCCCGAGAUGAGUUCUCCCUGAGACUUUAAGUCUCCUGAAGGAACGUUAAAGACGAUGACGUUGAUAGGCCGGGUGUGUAAGCGCAGCGAUGCGUUGAGCUAACCGGUACUAAUGAACCGUGAGGCUUAACCUUACAACGCCGAAG